GACGAAGUUCUGCUAGUACACAACCAUAAAAACAAUAAAUCCAAUUUGCAUAAAGUGAAGCAUUCACGUGUCUCUGUCUUUGUCUCUAUCCAGAGCCAGGGUAGACUAUAUUACGCCGUCCGGUGCGCUAAUUCUAUUCAAAGCACACGGAGUCUCGCUCUCACCGACUUGAAUGACCAUGCCCCUGUGUUCGAUCCCCGGGGAUACACCAAAACAGUGUCUGAGAGUCUCGCGGUGGACUCAGUCGUAAUCGAGGUAUUCGCCACGGAUGCAGACGCCGCACAAGCAAACAACAAGAUUACAUAUUCCAUAACGCCUCCCAUGAGCGAGUUUAAGUUUGGACCCGAAAAUGGAGUGAUCGUCUUGAAAAAGCGUUUUAACUUUAACAUAGUCUCUGAUUACUCAUUCACGGUGGAAGCCCGGG
Conger conger (European conger) is the source of this 424-nucleotide long non-coding RNA. RefSeq lists it as uncharacterized. Lineage: Eukaryota; Metazoa; Chordata; Actinopteri; Anguilliformes; Congridae. The record is from RefSeq and is a predicted model, not a curated record. The transcript has 4 exons.